GUGGCGCUGGAGAUUAUCCAUUGUCUUUGGUUGGGUUGGUGCUCACCCAGUGCUCAAGAGGGUUGAUGAUGUACUUUUAUUUCUACUUUUAUUUAUUUAUUUACUUUUUUUUUGUUAUGUGUUGUCUUUUUUCGUCCAUGGUUUUAAAUUGCCAACUUUGUAUCUUCCAUUUUUGAUUCAAUCUCAGUUGAUCAUUAUACCUGGGCUCUUUGAAUAUUGUGGACAGUGGUGGAAAUACUAUAAGGGAUAAGCCAUUCCCAAAUGUUCUAGGAAAUGGAUACCUUCUUUUUGAUUAAAUUGUGUGUGCUGCUUGAAAAAAAAAUUGUAAAAGAAGAUGUCUUAUGUGUUAAAUAUUGUGAGGUAUGAUAUAUUUUGUGUUCCACAGAGUUCAGUCUCAAAUUACACCAGGUACCAAUGAUGAUUUCUCACUCGAAAGAUUUUUUGUUCCCAUCCUGCAUAUGGUUUCUAAACAU
RNAcentral lists this long non-coding RNA (473 nucleotides) under Mytilus galloprovincialis (Mediterranean mussel). Lineage: Eukaryota; Metazoa; Mollusca; Bivalvia; Mytilida; Mytilidae. The record is from RNAcentral.